Small nucleolar RNA from Rhodamnia argentea, 97 nucleotides. RefSeq annotates it as small nucleolar RNA Z266. The transcript has a single exon. NCBI's taxonomy places the organism in Eukaryota, Viridiplantae, Streptophyta, Magnoliopsida, Myrtales, Myrtaceae. The record is from RefSeq and is a predicted model, not a curated record.
AUGUGGCAAGAGUGAAGAGCGAAUUAGAUUUGGGAAGGGAGAGACUUCCCAGUGAACUCAACUUUGGGAUGCUUAUUGAUAUUCUGACUUGCUACUA